UAGGGAAUCUUCGGCAAUGGACGAAAGUCUGACCGAGCAACGCCGCGUGAGUGAAGAAGGUUUUCGGAUCGUAAAACUCUGUUGUUAGAGAAGAACAAGGACGUUAGUAACUGAACGUCCCCUGACGGUAUCUAACCAGAAAGCCACGGCUAACUACGUGCUAGCAGCCGCGGUAAUACGUAGGUGGCAAGCGUUGUCCGGAUUUAUUGGACGUAAAGCGAGCGCAGGCGGUUUCUUAAGUCUGAUGUGAAAGCCCCCGGCUCAACCGGGGAGGGUCAUUUGAAACUGGGAGACUUGAGUGCAGAAGAGGAGAGUGGAAUUCCAUGUGUAGCGGUGAAAUGCGUAGAUAUAUGGAGGAACACCAGUGGCGAAGGCGGCUCUCUGGUCUAUAACUGACGCUGAGGCUCGAAAGCGUGGGGAGCAAACAGG
RNAcentral lists this ribosomal RNA (429 nucleotides) under Gemmatimonadota bacterium. RNAcentral describes it as "Gemmatimonadetes bacterium partial 16S ribosomal RNA". It matches the Rfam family "Bacterial small subunit ribosomal RNA", at positions 355 to 776 of the family's 1533-position model. Lineage: Bacteria; Pseudomonadati; Gemmatimonadota. The record is from RNAcentral.